Molecule: ribosomal RNA, 186 nt
Filed under: uncultured bacterium
Lineage: Bacteria
Description: partial 16S ribosomal RNA
Rfam family: Bacterial small subunit ribosomal RNA
Source: RNAcentral
GCCUUCAUGAAGCUGGAAUUGCUAGUAAUGGCAGGUCAGCAUACUGCCGUGAAUACGUUCCCGGGCCUUGUACACACCGCCCGUCACACCAUGAGAGUUGGAAAUACCCGAAGCCUGUGAGCUAACUUAAAGAGGCAGCAGUCGAAGGUAGAGCCAAUGAUUGGGGUGAAGUCGUAACAAGGUAUC